CAAAAAGCAUAAAAUCUGAAACCCGAUGAGCACAGGGCUCAGAGUCACGUGGGAGGCGUGACAGUUAAAAAGGUGCUCCUCUCGCUUGCCCCCUCAGUCAGGCGCCGUCUCUCCACAGCCAGCGGAACCAUGAGGAUGCUCCUGUGCGCCGCGCUGCUUCUGCUGCUCUGCAGCUCGCAAGUUCAAUCUCUCAAGUGCUACACCUGUGAGAAUGAUCCAAAAUGCAAAACAGAGACCGAAUGUCCACCCUCAAGUCAGUUCUGUAGGACUGAGGCCACAGCUACUGCAUUCUCUAGGAGCUGUGAGGAAAUCUGUGUUCCCUCAGUCACGGUGACCUGCUGUACUGAAGACCUGUGUCCCCUGUGAAGACAGCAUCUCUGCAGUCUCCUCUUCUCUCUGGGACUUCUUGGAGCACAGAUUAACUCUGUCUUCUGCAUGUAUCUAGCACUAGAAAAAUUGUCAAGAUGUUUGAAAAAAUCAAGUAAAUAAAUGCCCAUUAAUUCAUCAGAUAUUUUCCUCUCUGUAUUAGUCAAAUAACAAAAUAAAAGAUGAUUGUAUCUAGUUGAUCCACAGUAACCACCCCUUCAGUGUUUGUGUCUGUGAAUUUAGACAAGAUGUAUUUAAAUUAUGUUUCAACAUACUGAAGUCUUUCUUAUUCUGUUUUGUUACAGGCAUUCUAAAAUGUUUUACCAGUUUCAGAAUAUAAUUGAAAUUGCAUGGCAUUUCCAAAUUUUGAGAAUUUUAAUGCAAGUACAUAUUCUUCACAUUCUUAUCUUCUCUCUUUGUAUGAAAGACAAGUUUUACUUACUAAAAAUGCCCGAUGUCACCUAAAAACGUAGGAAAAAUCAAGAAGUGUGGUUUAUUUACUGCUACAUCUUUCUUUAGCGAUGAUUUUCCAUCAUCUAACAUGUAACCAUUGUGCUACCUCUCUUGGUUGCCACGACAGCUCUUUCCAAUUCUUCGCACACACUGUAGGUUACAUCCAGGAGCUUCAGUUUCAGAUGAAACUGUCCUGAGAUGUGUAUUGUUUGGCAAAAAAUGCUUCUAUGUGCACAUAUAUUUCAACUUUCUUUCUUGUAAAAUCACAACAAUAAACUUAAUAAAUAAAUCAUUAUUAGUGCAGAUUUA
Molecule: non-coding RNA, 1128 nt
Organism: Lepisosteus oculatus (spotted gar)
Lineage: Eukaryota; Metazoa; Chordata; Actinopteri; Semionotiformes; Lepisosteidae
Source: RefSeq, a predicted model, not a curated record